GCCUAACACAUGCAAGUCGAACGGAGUUUAAUUAGAAUGAGGCUUCGGCCAAUUCUUUUAACUUAGUGGCGGACGGGUGAGUAACGCGUGAGUAACCUGCCGUUCAGAGGGGGAUAACGUUCCGAAAGGAACGCUAAUACCGCAUAACGUAUUUUUACCGCAUGAUAGAAAUACCAAAGAUUUAUCGCUGAAAGAUGGACUCGCGUCUGAUUAGCUAGUUGGAGGGGUAACGGCCCACCAAGGCGACGAUCAGUAGCCGAACUGAGAGGUUGAUCGGCCACAUUGGGACUGAGACACGGCCCAGACUCCUACGGGAGGCAGCAGUAGGGAAUAUUGCACAAUGGAGGAAACUCUGAUGCAGCCAUGCCGCGUGUGUGAAGAAGGCCUUCGGGUUGUAAAGCACUUUCAGAGGGGAGGAGAAUGACGUUACCCUCAGAAGAAGCACCGGCUAACUCCGUG
RNAcentral lists this ribosomal RNA (459 nucleotides) under uncultured bacterium. Its description in RNAcentral is "bacterial SSU rRNA". It matches the Rfam family "Bacterial small subunit ribosomal RNA", at positions 46 to 507 of the family's 1533-position model. The record is from RNAcentral.